GCCGGGGUGGCCGAGCGGCCCAAGGCGCGGGACUUGAGAUCCCGUCCCCGUCAAGGGGGCGUGGGUUCAGGGGCACCCCGCCUAGAAAUCCCACCCCCGGCGCCA
This 105-nucleotide transfer RNA is filed under the name Pyrobaculum sp. RNAcentral's name for it is "tRNA-Ser". It matches the Rfam family "tRNA". From Rfam's summary of the family: Transfer RNA (tRNA) molecules are approximately 80 nucleotides in length. Their secondary structure includes four short double-helical elements and three loops (D, anti-codon, and T loops). Lineage: Archaea; Thermoproteati; Thermoproteota; Thermoprotei; Thermoproteales; Thermoproteaceae. The record is from RNAcentral.